Molecule: long non-coding RNA, 458 nt
Organism: Ornithodoros turicata
Lineage: Eukaryota; Metazoa; Arthropoda; Arachnida; Ixodida; Argasidae
Exons: 2
Source: RefSeq, a predicted model, not a curated record
UUGGUUUUUGAACGUCAUUCCUCCUCACGUCAUUCGCAAAUGUUUUUUUUUUAUUCCGUGUUAGUGCCGCGAAGCAACUGUGGCUAUGAGCGGCGUACAGACGUGGACAGAUGGAGGGAGGACAGCAGGAAGGAGUGGGGGGCAGAGGAGACCCACAAAUGCUCCUGCUGAAGUCACCUGCGUGAGUGCUGAAGUGAAACUGGACAUGAUGACGAACGUAGGAAGACACGCUCUGUGUCUAUCGUUUUGUCCGUCUCUCCCUGCAUUCAUGUCCUGAAAUGCUGAACACUGUAUGAGCAGGGGGUUAAGCUACUAUUGAACCAGUUACCACCUCAGACCCAAACUAAGUGGCAGAAAACAAGCACUUCAUAUGUGGAUGGAAUGAUGAGGAUAUAGUAUGUAUCACGCACCAGUCUGUAAAAUAGGCCACCUCAAUAAAGGCACAAACAGUGAACGCA